AACGAACGCUGGCGGCAGGCCUAACACAUGCAAGUCGAACGCCCUAGCAAAAGGGAGUGGCAGACGGGUGAGUAACACGUGGGAACGUGCCCUUCGGUUCGGAAUAACUCAGGGAAACUUUAGCUAAUACCGGAUAAGUGCGAGAGCAGAAGGACUUACCGCCGAAGGAUCGGCCCGCGUCCGAUUAGCUAGUUGGUUAGGUAAUGGCUCACCAAGGCGACGAUCGGUAGCUGGUCUGAGAGGAUUACCAGCCACACUGGGACUGAGACACGGCCCAGACUCCUACGGGAGGCGGCAGUGGGGAAUAUUGGAUAUUGGGGGCAAGCCUGAUCCAGCCCUGCUGCGUGAGUGAUGAAGGCCCUAGGGUUGUAAAGCUCUUUCGCCAGGGACGAUAAUGACGGUACCUGGAUAAGCAGCCCCGGCUAACUUGGUGCCAGCCGCCGCGGUAA
This 449-nucleotide ribosomal RNA is filed under the name uncultured bacterium. RNAcentral's name for it is "partial 16S ribosomal RNA". It matches the Rfam family "Bacterial small subunit ribosomal RNA", at positions 29 to 523 of the family's 1533-position model. The record is from RNAcentral.